GAAACUGGCAGGAUGCAUAACUGUUAAUCCCAGAGUGCAACGGAGUGCAAUGCCGGGGAACUGAGGCAGCAUCCCACGCCAUUACAGCGUGCUACGGUACAGUACAGACCAGCUUACCCGAUGAUCUAUCAGAGAAUGCUGCUUUUUUAGAACCAAGCUCUCAUCUCUAAAGAGACCAACCCUACGAGGAGGCCAGCGCCACAAACGAACAUAUAAAGACAAGAGGUCAACAAGCAGCUAAGUCUAUACAGCAACCUCAACAACUACAGUAGAAGCACAAGACAAAAAUAAAUUGAUUCCUGAUUGAACCUGCUCUUGACUAUGUUCCUGAAUACUCCUUGGGAUUGUUCACCUGGAACCUGUUAUUCUACUCCUUGUUCUUAUCCCUAGCUCUGCUCCGAUCUGGGCUCUUUUCCAUGGGCCUUGUCGAUUAUUACAGAUUGGCCCCACACACUCCAAUCCGUCUGAACUGCAAUAUUGGAGGUAGCCCAUGGAA
Molecule: long non-coding RNA, 496 nt
Organism: Hyla sarda
Lineage: Eukaryota; Metazoa; Chordata; Amphibia; Anura; Hylidae
Exons: 3
Source: RefSeq, a predicted model, not a curated record